Lonchura striata (white-rumped munia) is the source of this 671-nucleotide non-coding RNA. The record is from RefSeq and is a predicted model, not a curated record. NCBI's taxonomy places the organism in Eukaryota, Metazoa, Chordata, Aves, Passeriformes, Estrildidae.
UUGAGCUACAGCUUUGUCUUUCUUGUUUACCGGACACUUCUGUGAAGCCAUCUGAAGACACCUGAUGCCUCAGCAUUGCAGUAAUCAUCAAGGUGGAAAAAUGACAAGCUGUGCAUUCUCCAUCCCUGGAGAUAUUCAAGACUGGAUAAAGCUAUGAGCAAUCUGGUCAGAUCUUCAGCCAACCCUGAUUUGAACAAGAGGUUGAUCCAGAAACCUCCAGAGGUGUCUUCCAACCAGAACUAUGCUGUGCCCAUUGCAACUUAAGGAUGGUGUGGUGUUGCCUCCGUGCUUAGCAGAAUAGCAACUUCUGGCCUUUAUUUCAUGGCCAGAGACAAGUAUCUCAUCUCUGCUGAAGAAAACUCUGUCAUUUUUCAUGCUUCACCAGCAAGAAUUGCUGGGUAUGGCUACAGAAGCAGCUCAAUCCCAUAGUGCAAGACUGAUCCACAAGCAUUUCCAGUUAGCUUAAAUCAUGAGCUCCUAAACCAAUGAGUGCUGACACAUUGCAUUGUGAGGAGAUAAAUUGUGGCUGAGCAUUUAAGUGAUGAACAGAAAUUUCUCUUAAUCUUGUCAUAUUCCCUUGAAGCCAGUCAUGAGUUACAACACAGACUAAUCCCUACUGCCUGUCAUGCCUCACCUUAUGAAUAACCCAAACAUACAACUUUGCUUCCAGA